GAUGAACGCUGGCGGCGUGCCUAAUACAUGCAAGUCGAGCGAACAGAUGAGGAGCUUGCUCCUCUGACGUUAGCGGCGGACGGGUGAGUAACACGUGGAUAACCUACCUAUAAGACUGGGAUAACUUCGGGAAACCGGAGCUAAUACCGGAUAAUAUAUUGAACCGCAUGGUUCAAUAGUGAAAGACGGUUUUGCUGUCACUUAUAAAUGGAUCCGCGCCGCAUUAGCUAGUUGGUAAGGUAACGGCUUACCAAGGCGACGAUGCGUAGCCGACCUGAGAGGGUGAGCGGCCACACUGGAACUGAGACACGGUCCAGACUCCUACGGGAGGCAGCAGUAGGGAAUCUUCCGCAAUGGGCGAAAGCCUGACGGAGCAACGCCGCGUGAGUGAUGAAGGUCUUCGGAUCGUAAAACUCUGUUAUUAGGGAAGAACAAAUGUGUAAGUAACUAUGCACGUCUUGACGGUACCUAAUCAGAAAGCCACGGCUAACUACGUG
This 497-nucleotide ribosomal RNA is filed under the name uncultured bacterium. Its description in RNAcentral is "partial 16S ribosomal RNA". It matches the Rfam family "Bacterial small subunit ribosomal RNA", at positions 28 to 507 of the family's 1533-position model. The record is from RNAcentral.